Oryza sativa Japonica Group (Japanese rice) is the source of this 192-nucleotide microRNA precursor. It matches the Rfam family "MIR812 microRNA precursor family". The record is from Rfam. NCBI's taxonomy places the organism in Eukaryota, Viridiplantae, Streptophyta, Magnoliopsida, Poales, Poaceae.
CCUGGUUUCCGUACCCAGCGUUUGACCAUCUGUCUUAUUUGAAAAAAAUAUAAAAAAAUUAAAAAGACAAGUCACGCAUAAAAUAUUAAUCAUGUUUUAUCAUUUAACAACAAUAAUAAUACGAAUUAUAAAAAAAUUUCAUAUAAGACGGACAGUCAAAAUUGGACGCGGAAACUCAGGGUUUACCUUUUU